This 2522-nucleotide long non-coding RNA is filed under the name Mus musculus (house mouse). RNAcentral's name for it is "long non-coding RNA chr16:34746615-34749137". Lineage: Eukaryota; Metazoa; Chordata; Mammalia; Rodentia; Muridae. The record is from RNAcentral.
UGUGUGUGUGUGUGUGUGUGUGUGUGUGUGUGUGAAAGAGAGGAGGUACUAGGGUGACACUAUGAUUGGCCAGUGGAGGAAGAGGGUAGCUGGGGUAGAGGUAAGGGUACACCUGGGCAGUGCUCAUGACAGAGCUCAGAUCCUCAGAGUAGGUUCUGUGUGUGAGAUUCCAGACCCCUUCCACCAGAAGCUGUUUCCCAGGCGCUGGAUCUCAGAGAACAUGUAUGAAAUCAGGACUUUGGGAUAUUUGCUGACCUAACUCGUAAGACCAGGUAGGCCUACCUGGAACAUAGUAGACAGACAGCUGUAGUCACUACAGAGCAGGGAGGAAUCUUCAAAGAAGGCUUGUCUGGCCAGGUGUAAGGAGUCACGGGUCACAGGUCACAGGUCACAGGUCACAGGCCUUUGCAAGGUACUUGGUAGAAGAAGAGUGUUGGUCCUGACGCGUAAGUCUCUUCAGUGCAUUCUCUGGGAACACCAAGGACUCCCUCUCAAGAAACACCCCUUGAUCCCCCCCCCUUUGAUGUAUAAGAUGAAUGGCUACACAUCUUUAUUUAGUCCCAUAUUUUUCCCUGUGAAAGGCACCUAGUUGGUUUGUUGUUUCUUUGUUAAAGAGACUCACACAGUAGGGAUUUAAGAAUGAAGCAUUGCAGUCAACACAGGAGUCUCGUUUAGUCUCUUUCUGAGAAAAAUGUUUUGCAGUGCACACACAUUAUUCGUUCAUAAAAGCCUCCUGUUGGUCGGGCAGUGGUGACGCAUGCUUUUAAUCCUAGCACUCUGGAGGCAGAGGCAGGAGGCUCCCUGUGAGUUCAGAGGCCAGCCUGGUCAACAUAGCAAGUCUUAGGACAGCCAGAACUACAUAGAGAGACCUUGCUAAAACAAAACAAACCACCUAGACAAACAAAUAAACAACACAAAACCCCUCACCUUCUGUCCUUUCUGCAAAGCUAGUGGAAUUUAGAGAACAACACUGUAUAAAGUAAUGUUUUCCAACAAUAGAGACAUUCAAUAUAGAGCAAUUAAAAAUGUUUUGAGAGUAUAAUUACAUUUCCCCUUUCCCUUUGCUCUCUCUAAAUAUUCCCCACUUUUCUCUCCUUCAAAUCCAUGGCCUCUUUUUUCAUGAAUUAUUAGUAGAUACAUAUGAUAUGUGCAUAUAUACACAUAUGCACACACACAAUCUGUUGAACCUUUCCCUGCCCUCCACCUCUGGCCAACAAGGGGUAUGCACAGAAGCCAAGAGGUGGGAUCCAUUUGCAUGGAAGACUUACACACAUAGAUGCUUGGGUCCCAGUAGGAUCAACUGGUUGUCAUGGGGGCUCAGAACCAAAGAAUUAUCAAGCAGUCAUCCAGUCUGAAGACAGAGCAAUGUCACUGCAGUGAGCCCCGGUGUCACGUGACUUCUUUCCUUUCCCUUUGCUCUCUCAGCCUCCUGUCCCAAGGAGUCCUGAGGUGCCAGGCAGCAAGCUGCCUGUCCGUCACAUAUCUCCCACAUCUCCCAUUUUGCAGGUGCCUUUCAUUAUUCCGAUUUGAAUUUUAGCUGCCAACCUCUUCCUCCAGGUAAAGCUCACAGGGUGAGUAAGCGCUGCUCUUACAUGCACGUGCUCAGGGCUGUUGGACCUGGUUUGUCACCACAGGCCAGGAGGUCAUCCUUUCUGCCUUGGUACCUGCACCUCAGAUGCCAGGCUGUCGAGUUGUGGCAUGACAGGCGGGGCUGGGGCACAGGCCGGGUCAGCAGGAAUUGCUGCUUGCAGCUCAGGGACUGAGGGAGGCUGACUUUUCAGCUGCUCCCUGGGAUCUUCUUUUCAGUGUCCUCCUGCUCACUGUCCCUGGGUGUCUGAGGGCGAAUGCUCACAAUGGGAACCCCACUAGGGAGCUCUGGGAAUUUCUGUGUAGAUCCAGCUUCUCGAAUUUCCCAGCGCUGUCCCCUCCCCCACUCCUGGUAGGUCUGUGCCCCUCCCUCCUAUUCUGCCCACCCUGGGCUCUGCUGCUCUGCUCCUCCCUCCUGGGUCUCAGUGCACAGCCCUCUGGAGACCCAAAGCCCCCGGGACAAAGGAGAGGGGAUGAGGAGAGGAUUUCCUUUCUUUCAGAUCUGCAGCUUGAUUUUCCCUCUAGCUCUGAGCCCUUAGAUCUAAUGUUAAUUUGUUAAGCCAGGGCCUUAUAAAUUACUUCUCAUAUUCGUCAGAGAACACUGGUAAUUUGGGCACAUAUUGAGGUUUAAAAAAAUGCAGCUGUGGUGUACCUUUUGUUUCCAGAAAUUAAUGAUUUUUUUUUUUUUUUUGUUAAAGUACAGGUAGUUCUUCAGAAAACUGGCAGGAGGCAGGUGAAUUUUGAACUUUAACCAUACAUUCAGAUCUGUCCUGUCCUGUUUACUGGCUGGGUGUUCUCGGGGAACAGUAGUGUCUUUAUUUGACCAUGAAAGGGCAGUUUCAAAAAUUAAAUUGCCAAGGCUGUAGUAAUUCAGUCACUGAAGUGCUUGCCUCCCAAGUGUGAAAACUUGCGUUUCAUUUCCAGAAGCCAUGUUU